UGAGUAACACGUAUCCAACCUGCCGUCUACUCUUGGACAGCCUUCUGAAAGGAAGAUUAAUACAAGAUGGCAUCAUGAGUCCGCAUGUUCACAUGAUUAAAGGUAUUCCGGUAGACGAUGGGGAUGCGUUCCAUUAGAUAGUGGCGGGGUAACGGCCCACCUGUCUUCGAUGGAUAGGGGUUCUGAGAGGAAGGUCCCCCACAUUGGAACUGAGACACGGUCCAA
This 225-nucleotide ribosomal RNA is filed under the name uncultured bacterium. RNAcentral's name for it is "partial 16S ribosomal RNA". It matches the Rfam family "Bacterial small subunit ribosomal RNA", at positions 107 to 334 of the family's 1533-position model. The record is from RNAcentral.